Molecule: transfer RNA, 88 nt
Filed under: Phytohabitans rumicis
Lineage: Bacteria; Bacillati; Actinomycetota; Actinomycetes; Micromonosporales; Micromonosporaceae
Description: tRNA-Ser
Source: RNAcentral
GCGCUCCCCGCCGGGGUUGCUGCGGUGGCUGCUCGCCGCCGCGCGUGAGCCGCCGCGCGUGAGUAGGGCGCCCCUGUUGGGUGCGCGC